AGUAGAUGUCAUAUAUUAUGCAUAAAUACUAUAUGUAUUAUAUGUGUAUGAAUAUAUAAUAUAACCUAUGUCUUGUGUUAUAUACUGUAACAUAACAUAAAACAUAAUGCAUAUGAGAGAAUUUGGUGGAUAAUAUCUAAACUUAAAUAAUUGGUGGGCCCAUAGUUGGCAGCUGAAGAUGAGAAGUGAAUUAAAAUUCAUGACACCCACUUAAAUUUUAAAGUCAAAUAUGAUAUAAUACAAAGGACAUUCCCACAUCUUUAUGGUUACCAUUACAUUUUAAUAAAGGAGAACUUGUCACCAGAGUAAAAAUAAUUGGUAAGGAGCCUUUUCAGAUAAAUUAACCAUCCACAAAAACAUUCUGUGUGGGAGUAAAUCUUUGAGCAUCUUACCACAGGGUGUUUUUAAAACUAUUUCCAUCCAAACUCCUGAUGAUGUCUAACCUUCUAAAGAGAAAAUUCUGAGCCCAAAGGGAUCAAUUGCCUUUUCAGUUGGAGGUAUAUAUGUACCCCUAAAGAGGUUCAAAAGAAAUCAUUCAAGAUACUUUUCACAUGCAUACAGGAUUGGUUGCAAUAGUUAAAGAACAUAGAGUUGAAAUAAAUUGGAGGCUUCUUGUGGGUAUAUCCUUUUAUAUCAUGUUUUCCUUUAUAAUAAUUUAUUUUAUAUAAUUCGUGAUAAGAACAAUUACCCUGAAAUCUACUCUCUAAACAAACUUUGAAGUCUACAGGACAUUAUCAUUGGAUACAGUUUUGUAGAGCAGACCUUUAGUGCUUAUUCAUUUUGCUGGCCUGAAACUUUGUGCAGUUGAUUAGUGACCCCCAAUCCUCCGGUAGUUACCAUUUCACUCUUUGAUUCCUUGAAUUUGACUAUUUUAUACAUUUCAUGUAAGUGGGAUCUUAUAGUAUAUGACAUUCUGUGGCUGGCUUAAUUUCACUUAGCAUAAUAUCCUCAAGGUUCAUCAAGUUGUCACAUAUAACAGAAUUUCCUUCAUUUUUAAAGGCUGAAUGGCAUGUUGUAUAUGUGUGUGUGUGUGUAUACAUAUAUAUACACAUAUAUAUAUACAUAUACAUAUAUAUACAUAUAAUAUAUAUAUUAUAUAUACACACACACACUGAGUUUUCUUUAUCCAUUCAUCUUUGAUAGAUAUUUAGAUUGUACUGCCAAGCUGUAUUCAAUCUCUAAAUCUGGAAAAGAGAUUAUGUAAGAAAUUAGAAGCCCAUUUAUAAGAUUUCAAAUAAUAGUAAGAAACACCUUUUUGUUCAUUUUUAGAUGUAUUUUUACUGGUACAUUAUAAUAAGUAAUAUUGGAAAUUAUUUUGCCAUAUUUGUAUAUGCAUACAACAUAAUUUGAUCAUUCCUUAAGGAAACACUUUUUAAGAGUUAUCCAGUCCCUGUGUGAGGUAGAUUAACUGUUGAAGAAAACUAACAUUGAAUUCUGCCAUUUUAAUCUGUGUGUUCUGCCAGAUCAUAUUAAAGGACUAGUAUUCAUUGUGUUAGUCAGAUAAGACAGUUAUUAUGUGUAAAGAUGUUCACUUAAAAAGAGCAGUAACAACAAAAAUAAAACACCAUUUGCAUGAUAUUUUCACUUCUGUAUUUCUUUUCUUACAUGAGAAGAAUAAAUUUUAAUACCUUUCUCACAGAGUGCUUAUAAGUUAAUAAUAGUAAAAUAGUUGUGCUGAGGAUGAUAUGAGCCAUACACUAUAUAAAUAUGUGCUAUGGUUAUUAUCAUAUUUACCACAUUAUUAAACAAUACCCAAAAGCCACUAGUUGCAUUAUUUUUGAUAAUUACACAUAUGCUAUUCAGAAGAAUGUUUGACAUUCUGUGUCCUCUGAAGUUUAUAGUCUGAAUUCUAUAAUUUUAUUUCAC
RNAcentral lists this long non-coding RNA (1866 nucleotides) under Marmota monax (woodchuck). The record is from RNAcentral. Lineage: Eukaryota; Metazoa; Chordata; Mammalia; Rodentia; Sciuridae.